This is a small nuclear RNA of Aethina tumida (small hive beetle), 154 nucleotides long. RefSeq annotates it as U12 minor spliceosomal RNA. The record is from RefSeq and is a predicted model, not a curated record. The transcript has a single exon. Lineage: Eukaryota; Metazoa; Arthropoda; Insecta; Coleoptera; Nitidulidae.
GUGCCUUAAACUAAUGAGUAAGGAAAAUAUACGAGCCUUGGUAACGCUUGGCUUACAUGCUAGCUACCUAGCCGUUUAAUUUUUGUAGGGGUACAGGUCGUCCUGUGAAUGCCUGCCUACUUUUCGCAAGUGUUCCGGUGAAGCGAUUUGCCCC